AACCUCCGCAAUGUGAGAAAUCGCGACGGGGGGAUCCCAAGUGCCAUUCUUAACGGGAUGGCUUUUCAUUAGUGUAAAGAGCUUUUGGAAUAAGAGCUGGGCAAGACCGGUGCCAGCCGCCGCGGUAACACCGGCAGCUCUAGUGGUAACAAUUUUUAUUGGGCCUAAAGCGUCCGUAGCCGGUUUAAUAAGUCUCUGGUGAAAUCCUGCAGCUUAACUGUGGGAAUUGCUGGAGAUACUAUUAGACUUGAGACCGGGAGAGGUUAGAGGUACUCCCAGGGUAGAGGUGAAAUUCUGUAAUCCUGGGAGGACCGCCUGUUGCGAAGGCGUCUAACUGGAACGGUUCUGACGGUGAGGGACGAAAGUUAGGGGCGCGAACCGGAUUAGAUACCCGGGUAGUCCUAACUGUAAACGAUGCGGACUUGGUGUUGGGGUGGCUUUGAGCUGCUUCAGUGCCGAAGGGAAGCUGUUAAGUCCGCCGCCUGGGAAGUACGGUCGCAAGACUGAGACUUAAAGGAAUU
This 521-nucleotide ribosomal RNA is filed under the name uncultured bacterium. RNAcentral describes it as "bacterial SSU rRNA". It matches the Rfam family "Archaeal small subunit ribosomal RNA", at positions 345 to 866 of the family's 1478-position model. The record is from RNAcentral.